GACUAACGCUAAUACCGCAUACGACCUACGGGUGAAAGCGGAGGACCUUCGGGCUUCGCGCGGUUGAAUGAGCCGAUGUCGGAUUAGCUAGUUGGCGGGGUAAAGGCCCACCAAGGCGACGAUCCGUAGCUGGUCUGAGUGGAUGAUCAGCCACACUGGAACUGAGACACGGUCCAGACUCCUACGGGAGGCAGCAGUG
RNAcentral lists this ribosomal RNA (199 nucleotides) under Xanthomonas citri pv. malvacearum. RNAcentral's name for it is "partial 16S ribosomal RNA". It matches the Rfam family "Bacterial small subunit ribosomal RNA", at positions 155 to 356 of the family's 1533-position model. The record is from RNAcentral. Lineage: Bacteria; Pseudomonadati; Pseudomonadota; Gammaproteobacteria; Lysobacterales; Lysobacteraceae.